RNAcentral lists this ribosomal RNA (256 nucleotides) under uncultured bacterium. Its description in RNAcentral is "partial 16S ribosomal RNA". It matches the Rfam family "Bacterial small subunit ribosomal RNA", at positions 524 to 776 of the family's 1533-position model. The record is from RNAcentral.
UACGUAGGGUGCGAGCGUUAAUCGGAAUUACUGGGCGUAAAGAGUGCGUAGGCGGUUCGUUAUGUCUGCUGUGAAAGCCCCCGGGCUUAACCCGGGAAGUGCAGUGGAAACUGGCGGGCUUGAGUGUGGCAGAGGGGGGGUGGAAUUCCGCGUGUAGCAGUGAAAUGCGUAGAGAUGCGGAGGAACACCGAUGGCGAAGGCAGCCCCCCUGGGCUAACACUGACGCUGAGGCACGAAAGCGUGGGGAGCAAACAGG